Long non-coding RNA from Triticum dicoccoides, 607 nucleotides. RefSeq lists it as uncharacterized. The record is from RefSeq and is a predicted model, not a curated record. Lineage: Eukaryota; Viridiplantae; Streptophyta; Magnoliopsida; Poales; Poaceae. The transcript is spliced from 2 exons.
GGUAAUAACAAGAAAAUAAAGAGGAAUGAUGAUGAUGAGAAUGAGUUUCUUGAAACUGAGAGUGAGGAUGAUGAAGAAGAGAAUGAAUAUGUUGAUAAUGACAUCGAGGAUGAUGAUGGGGUGAGUGAGGAUGAUGAGGAUGGUGAACAAGAUCAGCUAGAGACACAAAUGCAACUUGAAGAAGAGACACAAGUACAAGUUCAAAAGGAGGCACCAACAAGCACUGGCCAUUUGGAGACUAGAUCUGGACGACUUAUUAGGAAGAAGACCAAGAACGUCAACAGCCUCUACUCGUAAAUUUGAAAUGGCACGUGAGCAAAGGAUAUCAAGAAGCUUUUGGAUGUUGGGAAGCUUGGAGCUGAUGCUUCAAAUAAGUUGAUGGUUGUCUUUUGGAGAUGUUUCUAUGUUUAAUGCUUUAAAGUCUUUUGGCUGUACUGGACUAUUUAAACUUUGAACUAUGCUGUGAUGGUUGAACUGAUGCUGGACGGUUAAGGGUUUAUGUCAGAGGCAACUUUAUAACUAAUGUGUGCCUGUUAUGUUGGACUGUUAAGGGUUAUGUUGGAGGCAAUUUUAUAACUAAUGUGUGUCUGCUAUGUUGGAUUGUUAA